GACGAACGCUGGCGGCGUGCUUAACACAUGCAAGUCGAACGGAAAGGCCUGCUUUCCCUUGUGGAUUGCGGGUACUCGAGUGGCGAAUGGGUGAGUAACACGUGAGUGAUCUGCCCCCAACUUGGGUAUAAGCCUGGGAAACUGGGUCUAAUUUCCGAUAGGACUGCAGGGUGGUGCCUGUGGUGGAAUACGAUUUUCUAGUGGUUGGGGAUGAGCUGGCGGCCUUUGAGCUUGGUGGAGGGGUAAUGGACUACCAAGGCGGCGACGGGUAGCCGGCCCGAGAGCGGCGACAGUGGGAUUGAGACUGGGACACGGCCCAGACGCGUGGGGGAGGCAGCGAUUUGUGGAAAUUGGGAAGGAGCGUAAGCCUGAAGCGGCGAGGGCGCGUGGAGGAUGACGGCCUUCUAGUGGUAAACUCCUGUCAACGAAAAGGAAUGCACCUGGAUGGAAGGGUGAUGACGGUAGUGGUAGAAGAAGCACCGGCUAACUACGUG
Molecule: ribosomal RNA, 494 nt
Filed under: uncultured bacterium
Lineage: Bacteria
Description: partial 16S ribosomal RNA
Rfam family: Bacterial small subunit ribosomal RNA
Source: RNAcentral